AACUCCGGCAGUGGCGGACGGGUGAGUAACGCGUAGGCAUCUAUCCUUGGGUGGGGGACAACCGUGGGAAACUACGGCUAAUACCGCAUGACGACUGAGGUCCAAAGCUCGCAAGAGCGCCUGGGGCGGAGCCUGCGUCCGAUUAGCUUGUUGGUGGGGUAAAGGCCUACCAAGGCGAUGAUCGGUAGCUGGUCUGAGAGGAUGAUCAGCCACACUGGGACUGAGACACGGCCCAGACUCCUACGGGAGGCAGCAGUGGGGAAUAUUGGACAAUGGGCGCAAGCCUGAUCCAGCAAUGCCGCGUGGGUGAAGAAGGUCUUCGGA
RNAcentral lists this ribosomal RNA (324 nucleotides) under uncultured bacterium. RNAcentral describes it as "bacterial SSU rRNA". It matches the Rfam family "Bacterial small subunit ribosomal RNA", at positions 85 to 422 of the family's 1533-position model. The record is from RNAcentral.